RNAcentral lists this non-coding RNA (30 nucleotides) under Homo sapiens (human). Lineage: Eukaryota; Metazoa; Chordata; Mammalia; Primates; Hominidae. The record is from RNAcentral.
ACCUGCUGAGAAUGAUAGCAAUUAGAAGGG